Molecule: ribosomal RNA, 253 nt
Filed under: uncultured bacterium
Lineage: Bacteria
Description: partial 16S ribosomal RNA
Rfam family: Bacterial small subunit ribosomal RNA
Source: RNAcentral
UACGGAGGGUGCGGGCGGUAUCCGGAAUUACUGGGUUUAAAGGGUGCGUAGGCGGCUAUGUAGGGCAGGAGUGAAAGUUUGCGGCUCAACCGUAAAAUUGCUUUUGAUACUGCAUGGCUGGAAUCAGGAUGAGGUCAGCGGAAUGUGGCAUGUAGCGGUGAAAUGCAUAGAUAUGCCAUAGAACACCAAUUGCGAAGGCAGCUGGCUAGACCUGUAUUGACGCUGAGGCACGAAAGCGUGGGGAGCGAACAGG